This 426-nucleotide ribosomal RNA is filed under the name Biantoncopus sp. PS-2009. RNAcentral's name for it is "partial 16S ribosomal RNA". It matches the Rfam family "Bacterial large subunit ribosomal RNA", at positions 1886 to 2600 of the family's 2925-position model. Lineage: Eukaryota; Metazoa; Arthropoda; Arachnida; Opiliones; Sandokanidae. The record is from RNAcentral.
GGUUAUUAGAUAGAAUUAAUAAUCUUACCUGCUCUAUGCUAAUGUAAAUGGCUGCAGUAUAUUGACUGUACUAAGGUAGCAUAAUCAAUAGUCUUUUAAUUGAAGGCUGGAAUGAAAGGUUAAAACUAUGAAGAAGGUUUUGUUAAUUGAUUUUGAAUUUAAAUUAAAAGUAAAAAUGCUUUUAUGAACCCUUGGGACGAGAAGACCCUAGAAGCUUUAUGCAUAAGUAUUUCAGUUGGGGUGACUAGUGAAGAUAAAGAUCUUUAAGUUUGGAAUGUAAUUUAUUUAAGUUACUCUAGGGAUAACAGCGUUAUUUAAUUUAUGAGUUCUUAUUUAAAGUUAAGUUUGCGACCUCGAUGUUGAAUUAAAUGGAAAUAAGGUGUAGGAGCUUUAUGUUGUAGUCUGUUCGACUAUUAGAUUUUUACA